GAAAAUCACAUUCACCUCCAAAUAUACGCUAUGCCUAUUUACACGUUCACACAGUCACCUCCUAAAAAACCCAAAAUCUAACGAUUCAAGCGUCGUUCAACCCUAAAUCACAACACCGUCGUACACAAUACGACUUCAAUUCCAUCAAUAAACCUUCCAAAUAAAUAAACAUCGGUGACUAGGGUUUCGAUUUUGUCCUUGAUUGCGACGAAGAAGAAAGUGUCUGAAAUACCUUUGGGUUCAAAUUUCUUGCAAUUACCACCAAUGUUAUCACUGAUGCUUGGACAAUUUUCUUUAAUGAGUUGCUUAUUUUACCAAUUCUGAAGAACACAUUGAGGUAUCCAUGCUUGAGGUUGCAAUUUGGUGGAGUUCCUAAAGGGGCUGGAUAUCGAGUACCAUAUGUCCGAAAUCAUUCUUGGCGGAAUGGUGUUGGUAGGAAUAAUGGGCCCUACACUAGGUCGACCCCUCGUUUUCCAUCUCCCACGCUUACUGCUCAAAGAUUCAUAAGGGAGCAACAGAGUAUCUUGCUUCAUUGCAAGCUGACAGAGAAAAAGAUUUGCUAGAGCAGGCAGCUAGAGAAGCUGCUAUGGAAGAAGAAAAGACAAAAUUGGAACAAGAAAAUUGGAUAACUCUAUACUAGACACAUUUUGUUUUAUUUUCUUCUGUAUGAUUUAUCGAUGUUGUUAUAUCUUUUCGUGACACCAGAGUGGGCAUAAAAGCCGUUUAUCUCCUAGGUAUGGAACUCCAUCAAUUGGUUUAUGUUCAUUCUCUAAAUUCGUCGGUUUAUAGGUAUUAAUUUUCAUUUCAAUUGUUGGAGAUUUUGGAAUUAUGCCAAAGCAGUGUAGCAUAUCAACUGCCAAAUCCUUGGACAAUGGGUAUUCUCGUUUUACUAGUUGAAGUUUAUUCAAUGCCAAAUCUCAAAGCAAAUCUCACGUUUGAAAUAGAAGUGUGAAAACUUGAAAGAGUAAUAGAAUUGCAAUGGUAAUGGUAUCUACUAUAUAUAUGUAUGCUUAUGUUGGCUUGACUUUUCAGGUAUUGUUCAAGAAUCUAAAUGUAGAUAUAAAGGAAGUCAAGCCAACUACUCUUAUUAAAGAUAAGUCUAGGAUGACCGAAGGAAACCCUGAUUUUUCUCAACCAAAGAUUGUUGAAGAAGUUAAAUAUACAGUGAGAAGUGCGGCAAAUCAAGUUGUAUUUCCGGCUGACGUUGCAUGUCCAUCUUAUCAGGUUGAUCUUUCACAAAUAGUAUACCAGGCUUGUUAACUUAAGACUUUUUUUUACAUUUUUAAUCUAUUUUACUUUACAAGUAUGGUCAUUGCAUUUGCAGCCGAUCGUACCAGCCUGAAAUAUUCCUGAUUUCCAAUCGGUUCUAAAGACGCAUGUCCUUGGGUUCGACCUUCUCCAUCCUCAGUUCAAAUAGAAAGCUAUAAUAAAUUUUUGUAUGACUUAAUGAUAGGUCUUAUUAUUUUCUUUUGCAGUUUGCUUCCGAUGGCUAUGAAUAAGGCUAUUGAAGAACUAGUUUCUACCGUUGUAGAGAGGAGUGUUUCUAUAGCAUCUCAAACAACAAUUGAUCUUGUGUUAAAGGUGUUAUUUAUGUUUAGUUAGUUCCUUAUAUGGUAAAGAAUUCACAUUUUUAUAAAUAUUUAUUGCACGAUUUUUACACAAAUUGACAGGAGUAUAUUAACGACCCGGAUGAGAUCUAUAUCGACAAUGUAAAAAGUUUGAUGGUUGCUUCCCUAGCUGGAAGUCUGUCUUCUGUCACCUGCAAGGUUUCGUGUUAAAUGUUUAAUUAUAUAAUGUAUGGUUAUAUAAUUCUAAAGUUAUAAAAUAGUUUUAUUACUAUGAUCCCCCUUUGUUGGAGGAACCACUGCGUGUUUUCACGGCAUCUUCAAGAAAUUCACUUGGAACAUUCAAACCCUUUGUGGAGUUUCUUAGAUGCCAUGAAAACACGCAGUGGUUCCUACAACAAAGGGGGAUCACAGUCAAUAAAACUAUCUUAUAACUUUAGAAUUAUAUAACCAAACAUUAUAUAAUUAAACAUUUAACACGAAACCUUGCAGGUGACAGAAGACAGAUUUCCAGCUAGGGAAGCAACCAUCAAACUUGAUACAUUGUCGAUAUAGAUCUCAUAUGGGUCGUUAAUAUACUCCCGUCAAUUUCUAUAAAAAAAACUUCAAUAAAUAUUUAUAAAAAUGUGAAGUCUUUACCAUAUAAGGAACUAACUAAACAUAAAUAACACCUUUAACACAAGCUCAAUUGCUGUUUGAGAUGCUAUAGAAACACUCCUCUCUACAAUGGUAGAAACUAGUUCUUCAAUAGCCUUAUUCAUAGACAUCGGAAGCAACCUGCAAGAGAAAAUAAUAAGAACUAUCAUUAAGUUAUUCAAAAAUUAAUUAUAGCUUUCUAUUUGAACUGAGAAUGGAAAAGGUUGAACCCAAGGACAUGAGUCUUUAGAACCGAUUGGAAAUCAGGAAUAUUUGAGGCUGGUACGGUCGGCUGCAAAUGCAAUGACCAUACUUGUAAAGUAAAAUAGCAUAAAAAAUGUAAAAAAAAUCUUAAGUUAACAAGCCUGGUAUACUAUUUGUGAAAGAUCAACCAGAUAAGAUGGACCUGCAACGUCAGCCGGUAAUACAACUUGAUUUACCGCACUUCUCACUGUAGAUUUAACUUCUUCAACAAUCUUUGGUUGAGAAAACUCAGGGUUUCCUUCGGACAUCCUAGACUUGUCUUUAAGAAGAGUUGUUAGCUUGACUUCCUUUAUAUCUACAUUUAGAUUGUUGAACAGUACCUGAAAAUUCAAGCCAACAUAAGCAUACAUAUAUAUAGUAGAUACCAUUACCAUUGCAAUUACUAUUACUCUUUCAAGUUUUCACACUUCUAUUUCAAACGUGAGAUUUGCUUUGAGAUUUGGCAUUGAAUAAACUUCAACUAGUAAAACGAGAAUAGGCAUUGUCCAAGGAUUUGGCAGUUGAUACGCUACACAGCUUUGGCAUAAUUCCAAAAUCUACAAUAAUUGAAAUGAAAAUUAAUAUCUAUAAACCGACGAAUUUAGAGAAUGAUCAUAAACCAAUUGAUGGAGGUCCAUACCUUGGAGAUAAACGGCUUUUAUGCCCACAGAAACUCUUUUUUUUUCUCUGUCAGCUUGCAAUGAAGCAAGAUAUUCUUCAUUCUACAGAAA
Long non-coding RNA from Helianthus annuus (common sunflower), 3175 nucleotides. RefSeq lists it as uncharacterized. The transcript has 4 exons. NCBI's taxonomy places the organism in Eukaryota, Viridiplantae, Streptophyta, Magnoliopsida, Asterales, Asteraceae. The record is from RefSeq and is a predicted model, not a curated record.